GUCCUAGCCGUAAACGAUGGACACUAGGUGUGGGGGAGUCGAAUCCCUCUGUGCCGCAGCUAACGCGUUAAGUGUCCCGCCUGGGGAGUACGGCCGCAAGGCUAAAACUCAAAAGAAUUGACGGGGGCCCGCACAAGCAGCGGAGCAUGUUCUUUAAUUCGAUGCAACGCGAAGAACCUUACCUGGACUUGACAUGGUGCUGCAAGCGCACGGAAACGUGUGACCUUCGAGGGUGCACCACAGAUGCUGCAUGGCUGUCGU
RNAcentral lists this ribosomal RNA (261 nucleotides) under uncultured bacterium. RNAcentral's name for it is "partial 16S ribosomal RNA". It matches the Rfam family "Bacterial small subunit ribosomal RNA", at positions 793 to 1055 of the family's 1533-position model. The record is from RNAcentral.